Molecule: ribosomal RNA, 1177 nt
Filed under: uncultured Actinomycetes bacterium
Lineage: Bacteria; Bacillati; Actinomycetota; Actinomycetes
Description: bacterial SSU rRNA
Rfam family: Bacterial small subunit ribosomal RNA
Source: RNAcentral
GGUACGGGUAGGACACGUGAGAAUCUGCCUCACUUGGGAUACUCGGAACCGGGGCUAUUACGAUUAUGAAUUAUAGUGGCUUCCUGAUUUGGAAGAUUUUGGGUGGAGGAUGACUUCGCGGCCUAUCAGCUAGUUGGUGAAGGUACGGUUCACCAAGGCAACGAACGGUAGCCGGCCUGAGAGGGCGACGGCCACACUGGGACUGAGACACGGCCCAGACUCCUACGGGAGGCAGCAGUGGGGAAUAUUGGGCAAUGGACGCAAGUCUGACCCAGCGACGCCGCGUGCGGGAUGAAGGCCUUCGGGUUGUAAACCGCUUUCAGUAGGGAAGAAGCGAAAGUGACGGUACCUACAAAAGAAGCACCGGCUAACUAUGUGCCAGCAGCCGCGGUAAUACAUAGGGUGCAAGCGUUGUCCGGAAUUAUUGGGCGUAAAGAGCUCGUAGGUUGUUCGUUACGUCGGAUGUGAAAAUCUGAGGCUCAACCUCAGACCUGCAUUCGAUACGGGCGAACUGGAGUGUGGUAGGGGAGACUGGAAUUCCUGGUGUAGCGGUGGAAUGCGCAGAUAUCAGGAGGAACACCAAUGGCGAAGGCAGGUCUCUGGGCCAUUACUGACACUGAGGAGCGAAAGUCUGGGGAGCGAACAGGAUUAGAUACCCUGGUAGUCCAGACCGUAAACGGUGGGCGCUAGUUGUGGGAACCUUCCACGGUUUCUGCGACGUAGCUAACGCAUUAAGCGCCCCGCCUGGGGAGUACGAUCGCAAGAUUAAAACUCAAAGGAAUUGACGGGGCCCCGCACAAGCAGCGGAGCAUGCGGCUUAAUUCGACGCAACGCGAAGAACCUUACCAAGGCUUGACAUAUAGGGAAAAGCAAUAGAGAUAUUGUGUCCGCAAGGGCCCUAUACAGGUGGUGCAUGGUUGUCGUCAGCUCGUGUCGUGAGAUGUUGGGUUAAGUCCCGCAACGAGCGCAACCCUCGUCCUGUGUUGCCAGCAUUUAGUUGGGGACUCACAGGAGACUGCCGGGGUUAACUCGGAGGAAGGUGGGGAUGACGUCAAAUCAUCAUGCCCCUUAUGUCUUGGGCUGCACGCAUGCUACAAUGGCCGGUACAAAGGGCUGCGAAACCGUAAGGUUUAGCGAAUCCCAAAAGCCGGUCUCAGUUCGGAUUGAGGUCUUACAC